CUUCAACGAGCCGAACAGCAGCGGGUGUUCGCGGUCCUGGCCGUAGGUGGCGAGCAGUGCCUGUGCCUC
RNAcentral lists this antisense RNA (69 nucleotides) under Streptomyces sp. F-1. RNAcentral's name for it is "ASpks TB sRNA". It matches the Rfam family "ASpks TB sRNA". Lineage: Bacteria; Bacillati; Actinomycetota; Actinomycetes; Kitasatosporales; Streptomycetaceae. The record is from Rfam by way of RNAcentral.